Long non-coding RNA from Cavia porcellus (domestic guinea pig), 612 nucleotides. RefSeq lists it as uncharacterized. The transcript has 3 exons. The record is from RefSeq and is a predicted model, not a curated record. Lineage: Eukaryota; Metazoa; Chordata; Mammalia; Rodentia; Caviidae.
UGUAGCUCUCCUAAGGCAGCACUCCGGUCCUGUGGAGCUAUCUCCUCCUGUCCACCCGGAUCAGCAGCCAUUCAUCCAAAUGAACUGUCCCUCUUCAGACACUGCCAUUGGUCACCUUCACCUUCUAUCUCAUGUGUCACUUCCUUCGCUGUUCCCUGAGGACUUCGGCAAGUGUGCAGAGGAGGAAAUGAGAGGAACAAGACCCAGUGCAAUGGCUUUGAUUUUCAGUGCCCUCCAAAGAGCCACAUGUUAAAGAUUCCCAGCCCAUCGUGCUAUGGGGAAGUGGUGGAAGCUUUAAGAGAUGGGGCCUAAUGAGAGGUCUCCAGGUCACUAAGGGUCUGCCAUUGAAGGGGUGGGGGCACCUCGGUGUCUUUCUAUUGCUCUCUGACACGAGGUGAAUAGUUUUGCUCUGCCAUGCACUUCCAGCAUGACAUACUGUUGUGACAGGGCCAACUGAUCACUCCAAAGCUGCAAGCCAGAAUCUUUCCUCUUUAUAAAUUGAUUGUCUCAGGUAUUUGUUGCAAUAACAAAAAGCUGACUGUUACACCUCACAUCUGCUUUUGUAGCUCUCCCCAUUCACCCAUCAUCUCAAAAGGAAGCUUACAAGCCCAG